Molecule: non-coding RNA, 126 nt
Filed under: Numidum massiliense
Lineage: Bacteria; Bacillati; Bacillota; Bacilli; Caryophanales; Bacillaceae
Description: SAM riboswitch (S box leader)
Rfam family: SAM riboswitch aptamer (S box leader)
About the family: The SAM riboswitch is found upstream of a number of genes which code for proteins involved in methionine or cysteine biosynthesis in Gram-positive bacteria.
Source: RNAcentral
GUUAUCUAGAGUGGUGGAGGGACUGGCCCGAUGAAACCCGGCAACCGUCUCACCUGUGUCCUGUGGACACCGUGAGAAAGGUGCUAAUUCCUGCAGAGCGCUUUUUUAGUGCUUUGAAAGAUGAGA